Molecule: ribosomal RNA, 424 nt
Filed under: uncultured Planctomyces sp.
Lineage: Bacteria; Pseudomonadati; Planctomycetota; Planctomycetia; Planctomycetales; Planctomycetaceae
Description: bacterial SSU rRNA
Rfam family: Bacterial small subunit ribosomal RNA
Source: RNAcentral
UCGAGAAUCUUCGGCAAUGGGGGAAACCCUGACCGAGCGACGCCGCGUGUGGGAUGAAGGCCCUUGGGUUGUAAACCACUGUCAGAGGGGAUGAAGUGCCAGAGAGUUAUCUCUCUGGUUUGACAUAGCCUCAGAGGAAGCACGGGCUAAGUUCGUGCCAGCAGCCGCGGUAAGACGAACUGUGCAAACGUUAUUCGGAAUCACUGGGCUUGAAGAGUGCGUAGGCGGUUUUGUAAGUAGGGUGUGAAAGCCUCCGGCUUAACCGGGGAAUUGCGCUCUAAACUGCAAGGCUGGAGUGAGGUAGGGGUGUGUGGAACUUCUAGUGGAGCGGUGAAAUGUGUUGAUAUUAGAAGGAACGCCGGUGGCGAAAGCGACACACUGGACCUUGUCUGACGCUGAGGCACGAAAGCCAGGGGAGCAAACG